RNAcentral lists this long non-coding RNA (600 nucleotides) under Oreochromis niloticus (Nile tilapia). Its description in RNAcentral is "lncRNA (ENSONIG00000032826.1)". The record is from RNAcentral. Lineage: Eukaryota; Metazoa; Chordata; Actinopteri; Cichliformes; Cichlidae.
AUGUUUCUGGGUCCCAGGUCUGGUUUCAGAACCGAAGGGCGAAGUGGAGGAAAGUACGUGGUGUUACAGCAAAGGUGGAACACGGACAGAGUAGAGCUGAAUACAGUCCACAUCACCAAAUCAAUCCCACUUUGCCCACACUGGCUCACAACAGCUGGGAUUACAGCGUACCAGUCUUACCCAUGGGGCAACAUGUGCAGUCAGCCAGCCAUGCACCAGCGUACUCAGUGCCCUCCUGCUUACCCUGGCAGCUUGGGACCUGGUCGAGAGCACCAGCCUACCUCUUCCACCAUCUUCCCUCUUCCUUCGUUCUUCCCUGGGGAGGACCAGGAGUCGUUGCAUGCAAAUUCCCAGGAUCCUUCACUCAACCAGACUUUCACAAGCAGCACCACCAGCACUGCCACCGUCCUGCCACCUGUGUCAACGCUCCUGCCCUCUUGCCUCAGGGUGGAGGAUACUCCAGCCAGGGAGUCAUUGCUAAUGCCCUCGCAGACAGAAGAAAUGGAUGUCACAGUUCCUACAGAUGACCAGGACAUCCAACUCCCUCGUCUGGACAGAAGUAAAAGUGUUUCUGCUUUUAUCAUUUCAAUUUUGGCUUAG